GGUGCCACCAUCAGGUGGCCGCAGAGAAUAGGCCCAAGCGACUGUUUACCAAAAACAUAGGUUUCUGCUAAGUCGCAAGACGAUGUAUAGGAGCUGACGCCUGCCCGGUGCUGGAAGGUUAAGGGGAGCUGUUAGAGCAAUCGAAGCAGUGAACUUAAGCCCCAGUAAACGGCGGCCGUAACUAUAACGGUCCUAAGGUAGCGAAAUUCCUUGUCGGGUAAGUUCCGACCCGCACGAAAGGCGUAACGAUUUGGGCACUGUCUCA
RNAcentral lists this ribosomal RNA (265 nucleotides) under Clostridioides difficile. Its description in RNAcentral is "partial 23S ribosomal RNA". It matches the Rfam family "Bacterial large subunit ribosomal RNA", at positions 1747 to 2023 of the family's 2925-position model. The record is from RNAcentral. Lineage: Bacteria; Bacillati; Bacillota; Clostridia; Peptostreptococcales; Peptostreptococcaceae.